This is a long non-coding RNA of Dermochelys coriacea (leatherback sea turtle), 2596 nucleotides long. RefSeq lists it as uncharacterized. The transcript is spliced from 3 exons. The record is from RefSeq and is a predicted model, not a curated record. NCBI's taxonomy places the organism in Eukaryota, Metazoa, Chordata, Testudines, Dermochelyidae.
GUAUCUAAUAUCUAAAGGUUUAAUUAUAGAAAAAAAGAACGGUGAGAGUUAAAAUUGGUUAAAGGAAUCAAAUACAUACAAUAAAUGCAAAGUUCUUGGAUCAGGCUUAUAGCAGUGAUGGAAUAAACUGCUGGCUUGUUAAGUCUCUGGUUGCUUCAAAUCAUUGGAAGGUCCUCAGUCCUUUGGAUAGAAUGCUCCCAUUAGUGUAAGUUCAUAGUCCAGAGGCUUGAGCAGGAAAGAGGCAAAAUAGAGGUAUUUCCAGGGCCUUUUAUAGCUUCUGCUAUGUGGAGGGAAACUCACUGUUUCAAACAAACCCCUCCACACAGCUUGUGGAAAAAUACAGGUAACAAGAUGGAGCUUAGUGUCACAUGGUCUCGUCACAUGUCCUAACAUGCUCUGCUGAGUUAUAGCAGAGGCCAUUACCCAUACUCUAGCUAGAACACAGGAAAGUCCAUUAGGUGUAGAUAGGUGUCUUUCAUGGUUCAUUGUGAGUUAAAUGUUCCUUGAUGGGCCAUUCAACUUGAACAGUCCCUUUACAAUGUGCUGGCUAAAUACCUUGUGGGUGAUACCACAGGAGCAAAUACAUUUGAAAUACAGGUACAUAGUUAACAUUCAUAACUUCAGAUAUACAAAUGAUGCAUGCAUACAAAUAGGAUAAUCAUAUCCAGCAAAUCAUAACUCUUUCAUAGACACCUUACUUGACAUACUUUGUACAAGGUUUGUUGCGAUUAUAUAACAGUGGUAGCAACAAUGAUCUACAUAGUCAUAACUUAAUCAGAUAAUGUCACACUGGGUAUCAGUGGGAUCGGUGGAAAUGUGUAUGCAAGACCUUGAUUGCACAGUAUGAGAUAGGUGUCUUUCAAGGAUCCUUGGCUCAUGCCUCCAUUGAAGCAAAAGACACUGUGUUUGCUUUUGUGGCAAACAUGUCUAUAGUGGGGUUUCCCCAUCAGUGAAAUACUGCAUAUAUGCCAACCUUGCUCUGAGACUUUUUGGGACAUUAGGGAGGUUGCUUGGAUCUCUCUCUCCCUUUCCCUCUCUUCUCAGAAACUGAGACCUCUCUCUCUCUCCUCAUCCACUCCUCUCCCUGUGGAGAAACUGGGACCUCUCCCUUCUCCCCUCCCAUCAUCUCCUUGUCUGUGGCCAAGAGGGGACAGAGUUGAGCCCCUGGGUAGUGUUCCCUCUAAUUUUUUAAGUGCAUGUGCAGAAUGAAUUUUGUUAUGUGCACCAAUAUGGAGGUGAUGUGUGGUGGGGGUUUGGCCAAGGGGUUCGGAGGGUGGGAUGGGGCUCAGGGCUGGGGCAGAGGGUUGGGGUGCGGGCUCUGGGCUGGGGCUCUGGGGUGGGGCUGGGGAUGGGGAGUUCAGGGUGCAAGCUGCCCAGGGCCGGGGACAGAGGACUCUCCCAGCCUUCUCCCUGCUGGCAGCACGGAGCUCGGGGGGGCGCCCCUCCCCUCUCUCCCCGCUGGCAGCACAGAGCUCUGGGGGAGGUGCCCGAGGCAGCCCUGCAUGCUCCAACUUGCUCCUCUCUCCAGUCCCCGCCCAUGCCCUACCUCUCUCCUCUCGAGGUUCCUGUGGCUGCAUGGCCCUUUAUAGCCUGCUGCGUGGCCACACAGCUUAGAGGGAUAUUAGCCCCUGGGCCACACCCUCAUUGUAUCCUUGAGCCCCAACCCCCAAAGAGAAAGAAGGGGAGGACUGGCCCUAGGAAAGCUGCCCUCCUAUGAAGUUUAGGGCUUGGUCAGUCCCAGGCCUGGACAUCCUUCCCAAAAUGAUCCUCCUUCUCUUCUACUUCUUCUGUCGCAUUCCUUCUCCUCCUCCACUGCUGCCUUCAUUUGCCCCUCUGGCUUCUCCUUCCCCACAGACUGUGCAGUGAGGGUAUGACAGAAGGCAAGCCACAGCAACUGUCAGUGAGGUCAGGGGAGCUGGAUUCACUGCCCAAGCUGCAUGUUGAGCUCCAGCUAUCCUGUGUAGACUCUGCUGGUGUGCUCUACAUACUUAGCAUCAUAGUUCAGGGCAACCACAUCUGUAUUCCCCUUCUCUGGUCCCCUGAGGGCACCCAUUCUAGGCUCCUGGUUCCUCAGCCAUCAUUUCUCUUGGACAGACACCUGCACCUCUCUCCCUCCGGACCAGGGUUUUUCCAGGCUGCACAGUUUCCUGGAUACACUGUGAUAGCCUCAGCAAGCCAGAUUGACCAGCCCUGCCAGUCUGUGCUUUAUUUUCUAGGUUUAAGCCUGAAUUUAGGGUAAUUGCUAGCAGUUAUUAGUUACCACACAACUCUUUAUAAGCCAGCACAUUAUUCUUAAAGUGAAAGCAUUACAGAGAAAACAUAUUAAAGCAAUAAAAGAACCUACAAACAUGCUAAAAAGCUUACUAGAGAUCACCCCCAACUCCAACAAGAGCUCUUGUAGGAGUCUGUCCUUCAAACUCCAUAAAGGGGUUUCCCUGUGGUUACAAGUUCAUAACAGCCUUAGCUCAGAACAAGCAUCCCCAUGAAUAGCCUGGGCCUUUGAUCUUCAGAUUCCGGGAACAGAUAAUUAGUACACAGUGGUGCUCCCCUCUGGAAGUAGCUUCAAAAGGCUGCGAUUCUGCAUAACCAGAGGCAG